RNAcentral lists this ribosomal RNA (888 nucleotides) under Onycholyda amplecta. RNAcentral describes it as "SSU rRNA". It matches the Rfam family "Eukaryotic small subunit ribosomal RNA", at positions 594 to 1420 of the family's 1831-position model. The record is from RNAcentral. Lineage: Eukaryota; Metazoa; Arthropoda; Insecta; Hymenoptera; Pamphiliidae.
AUAGCGUAUAUUAAAGUUGUUGCGGUUAAAAAGCUCGUAGUUGAAUCUGUGUCCCACGCUGUCGGUUCACCGCUCGCGGUGUUUAACUGGCAUGACUGUGGGACGUCCUACCGGUGGGCUUAGCCUCUCGGGGCGGCCCAACUAAUAUCCCAUCGCGGUGCUCUUUACUGAGUGUCGAGGUGGGCCGGUACGUUUACUUUGAACAAAUUAGAGUGCUUAAAGCAGGCUAUUUUCGCCUGAAUACUGUGUGCAUGGAAUAAUGGAAUAGGACCUCGGUUCUAUUUUGUUGGUUUUCGGAACCCCGAGGUAAUGAUUAAUAGGGACAGAUGGGGGCAUUCGUAUUGCGACGUUAGAGGUGAAAUUCUUGGAUCGUCGCAAGACGGACAGAAGCGAAAGCAUUUGCCAAAAAUGUUUUCUUUAAUCAAGAACGAAAGUUAGAGGUUCGAAGGCGAUCAGAUACCGCCCUAGUUCUAACCAUAAACGAUGCCAGCUAGCGAUCCGCCGACGUUCCUCCGAUGACUCGGCGGGCAGCUUCCGGGAAACCAAAGCUUUUGGGUUCCGGGGGAAGUAUGGUUGCAAAGCUGAAACUUAAAGGAAUUGACGGAAGGGCACCACCAGGAGUGGAGCCUGCGGCUUAAUUUGACUCAACACGGGAAACCUCACCAGGCCCGGACACCGGAAGGAUUGACAGAUUGAUAGCUCUUUCUUGAUUCGGUGGGUGGUGGUGCAUGGCCGUUCUUAGUUGGUGGAGCGAUUUGUCUGGUUAAUUCCGAUAACGAACGAGACUCUAGCCUGCUAAAUAGGCGUACUUUCCGGUAUCUCGAAGGCCCCCGGCUUCGGUCGGGUGGUUUUUACUACCGGCGUACAAAUAAAUCUUCUUAGAGGGAC